Molecule: long non-coding RNA, 1886 nt
Organism: Solea senegalensis (Senegalese sole)
Lineage: Eukaryota; Metazoa; Chordata; Actinopteri; Pleuronectiformes; Soleidae
Exons: 3
Source: RefSeq, a predicted model, not a curated record
CAAACUCUGGUCCGUUUUAAAGUGGACCAAACAGUUCUGGUGUGAAAGGGUCCUUAAAGCAGAACUGGUGCAGGAUGUUUAGAACUUCAGAGUCAUUGUGAAGGUUAAAUGUCUUAUUGUGGGGAAAUUGGGGGGCUGUCUCCACUGCUGGAUGGAUAAUGGAUGGAUGAAUGGAUGGAUAAUAAGAUGAAAAACCAACCAGACGUGCAAAGUUCUGUUCCCUUUGAAACUUUUCUUGACUGAACCAUUGCUAAUCAUGAUCGAGACAUUUGUUCUCUUUUCCACCCCAGGGAACCACAGGCCCCGCCCAGAUUUAUGAAGAGUCCUGCAGCGUUUUCUUCAUGUCAAUCAUCAACUUGCUCUUCAACAUCCUCAUGGGCUUCUUCUUUGCGUGCGCAGUCACCGCACUUCUGGGUCUGCUGAUCUCCCUGCUGAUGAUCCACCAGGUGAGACGCCACGACAACGCCGGCGCGGCGUCCAUCGCCAUGAAGGGCUAUUAAAGGCAAACCACCUUUCGACCCCCUCCCCCCCCCCGACCUUUAACCUCCGCACUGUAAUUAGGGGACUCGGUGGUCAAAUUCAUGUCGUCGUAGUUGUUACUAUCUUAAAUGUAAUAAAUCCUGUCCUGUAUGAAGAACGAUGUAGAGGAGGAUGCCGGAGACGGAGCAGAGCGAAGCGCCGAGAGGAAAAUGAUUGUUUUCUUGUAGAAAUUCUGAAUAGCAAACAUAUAUUUUUUUGUGAAGUAUAUACUUUAUCUUUUUUUGUGUUAUUUGAAUGUAAGACGUAUCAUAGAAAUAUCAAGCUUCACACUUCAUAUAUGACUGAAGCUCUUUUAUCCCGAGGAGGUCACAACUGCCACUUUGUUUUUAUUAGCGCGUUCCCGUCGCCACAAACAUCGCAGGAUAAAUAUCAGAACUGGGAAUGACGUCACCCCCCCAUUGCCAUCUAGUUGUCUAAUUUAGUCACUUUAAUAAACGUGUUCAUUGGUUAUUUGAUAUAUAAAAACAGACAUUUCUGCGUGUAAAAACAACAGCUUUAACUCCGCUGAUUCAGCCACCUUGAAUCGCAAACUCGGGGGGAAUGAGGAGUUCAAACAAUUUGAUGAAUCAGUGAGUCAUCUUGUAACUGUGAAACCAUCCAUGACCUCAGAAUGCAGCAGAAACUGUUAGCUUAACACAAAAAAUGAGGUAGCCCGUACCCAGCUAGAUUUGUGGAGACACCAACAAGCUACGAGCGACUCGUCCUGAAUUAUCCAAAUAAAGGCCCUGGUACACUUACACAUCAGGUGUGGAAUGGGUAACGCAGCCCAGAAUUUUGGAACUGCGUGCAAGGAAACGCGUUGGUUGUGCGUGGACGUCGCUUAACAACUUAUAAGCAAUAGCGAGCUACCGUCCCAAAAUUUAGUAUUAACUUUAAAUUCCAAAGGAGAGUUCCAAUGAGUUGAAACCAUCUGGAAUGCCAACUGUAGGGGGCGCUCCGAGUGACACCACCCAGUAGAAUUCUCGACAAUCUCAACGUUAAUUCAGAACACCACGUUUGUCGACCUCCUCGGGUUAAAAUGAUCACAUGAGAAGAGUCACCUAUAUAUGUAAAUAUAUGUAUACGUCUCUGUAAAACCACUUAAGACAUUUACAGUUCCCAUAAGAUGAAGGCCACCGUUUUCACAGUCAGGAACUUUUCUGUUUGAUUUCUUCUGUAGAGAGCGGGUAACGUUGGAAUUAAUCCCAGCAACAUCUGCGGCACUGACAACAACCAAAGUUAGCAUCUCAUCUGUGUUGAAAGUACAAUUUUCCACAAUUUGUAAUCGUAGUGUAAACGUCUCCAGACUUAUACUGAGGAUGAAGCCAUGUGACCGAAACCAAAAUAAAAACAACAUAAAACAUCGA